RNAcentral lists this unclassified non-coding RNA (1383 nucleotides) under Agrilus planipennis (emerald ash borer). RNAcentral describes it as "uncharacterized LOC108739600, transcript variant X4". The record is from RNAcentral. Lineage: Eukaryota; Metazoa; Arthropoda; Insecta; Coleoptera; Buprestidae.
AUUUUAAUAAGUGGCGAUCAUUUUAAUUAUUAGUCAAACGGAAUUAAAAAUAUCUUUUAUGUAUAGAUUUAAAUUAUUUUUAUAGGCUACAUGAUGUUGGCGGUUCGAUGUUCUUUAAUUUGACAGUUUGUUUAUUUUUCCAAUUUCUAACCUAUCAUUUUUCAAAUAUUGGUACUGGCAUACUUCAUCAGCUAAUAACUGUUUUUUUCUUAAUUUAAGGUAUUUUUACGUGUUUAACUUAAACAGACAAUCGAUUAAUAAUAUUCUUAUUGCAAUGAGUUUCGACGACCUUUUCGGAGAUAAUGAAAUUGAGGAUGGAGUUAAUUAUAACUAUGGCUUUACUCAGAAUCUUUAUAACAAUUCUGCUGUUAUAUCAUACCCAAACGAUAUUAAUAUCAAUAGUUUAGUUCUUUUACUAACAAAGUUUAAUAAAACAGAUAUAGUCACAUUAAUUGAAGAAAUAAUAAAUAACAAGAGUGUUAUAGAUGGGUCACCUGUAGUGUUUUUUAUAUUCCAGUCCUUCUUUAAAAAUAAUUUGGACCUACAGAUGUUAACAGAGGAGGAAAUAAUAAAUUUGGACUUCGUUACUCAAAUAAUCAAGAGACUAAAAACAUCAAAUAAAUUUAAUCAUAUCAAUUUUGCCAAAACAUUCUUCUCCAAUUGUGACGCAAAUAUUUCACUUAUUUUCAUAUGGUGGCUACAUAAAGAACAUAUUAUUUAUCUUGAGCAAUACUGGGAUGCUUAUCAGCCACUGGAUUUAAUAGAUAAAUUAAUAAAAAUUGCUGCAAUAAAUGAAAAUAAAGAAAUUCUGGAGGGCAUACUUGUGGAACUUCUUUCAAGUUGUUAUUCUCCUAGAACUGGUAUCUGCCGUCUUCACAAAAGUAAAUUGUGGUCGUCUUUUUGUAGCAAUAUUUUGAAUGACUUUAUUGAGAAGUAUUUUAUUUCCAUAUUAAAAGAAAAAAACCAAGAAUUUAAUAAUUUUCUUCCUCUAAUAACUGGUUCAUUGCUCUUACCAUAUAAUUUUAAGAAACGUUUUUGUAUAAGUAUACUUCAAAAACUGGUUACUUUUGAAAAUGGUGAAUUUGAUAUGAAUAGUGCCUUUUUAUUUCAAUGCCUUUGGACUAUGGAAAAUACACCAGAGAAAUUGGAAAAUGUCCUGAAAGAGGUUUUUUUCAGAUUAUUGUGAUUUUAACGAUGUUAUGGAAAUUUUUAAAAAGUGCGACAAUAACAUAAAUUGGAAGUAUCUUCUUACUGUAAUAGCUGCAUGUGCUAAACAUUCAAAAGCAAGUCAAAAGCAGUUACAAAAAACCGUACAUGAUAAUUUGCUGAGUAUGUUCAAAGGCGGAAAGAUUUCUGAUUUUAAAACUGCUAUACUUCUUAUAA